GGCCUAACACAUGCAAGUCGAGGGGUAUUGUUCUUCGGAAUGAGAGACCGGCGCACGGGUGCGUAACGCGUAUGCAAUCUACCUUUCACAGAGGGAUAGCCCAGAGAAAUUUGGAUUAAUACCUCAUAGUAUGCAGAGUUGGCAUCAACACUGCAUUAAAGUCACAACGGUGAAAGAUGAGCAUGCGUCCCAUUAGCUAGUUGGUAAGGUAACGGCUUACCAAGGCUACGAUGGGUAGGGGUCCUGAGAGGGAGAUCCCCCACACUGGUACUGAGACACGGACCAGACUCCUACGGGAGGCAGCAGUGAGGAAUAUUGGACAAUGGGCGCAAGCCUGAUCCAGCCAUGCCGCGUGCAGGAUGACGGUCCUAUGGAUUGUAAACUGCUUUUGCACAGGAAGAAACAACUCUACGUGUAGAGUCUUGACGGUACUGUGAGAAUAAGGAUCGG
This 450-nucleotide ribosomal RNA is filed under the name uncultured Flavobacteriia bacterium. Its description in RNAcentral is "bacterial SSU rRNA". It matches the Rfam family "Bacterial small subunit ribosomal RNA", at positions 45 to 496 of the family's 1533-position model. Lineage: Bacteria; Pseudomonadati; Bacteroidota; Flavobacteriia. The record is from RNAcentral.